CUACGGGAUGCAGCAGUGAGGAAUCUUCCGCAAUGGGCGAAAGCCUGACGGAGCGACACCGCGUGAAGGAUGACGGCCUAACGGUUGUAAACUUCUUUUCUGAAGGAGCAAGAUGAGAGUACUUCAGGAAUAAGGGGCGGCUAAUUACGUGCCAGCAGCCGCGGUAAUACGUAAGCCCCAAGCGUUACUCGGAAUUACUGGGUGUAAAGGGUUCGUAGGCGGAAAGUUAAGUCGGAUAUGAAAGACCGGGGCUCAACCUCGAGUUUGUAUUCGAUACUGACGAUCUAGAGUUAGGAAGAGGUAAGCGGAAUUCUAAGUGUAGGGGUGUAAUCCGUAGAUACUUAGAAGAACACCAAAAGCGAAGGCAGCUUACUGGUACUAUACUGACGCUGAGGAACGAAAGCGUGGGGAGCGAAAAGGAUUAGAUACCCCUGUAGUC
Molecule: ribosomal RNA, 439 nt
Filed under: uncultured bacterium
Lineage: Bacteria
Description: partial 16S ribosomal RNA
Rfam family: Bacterial small subunit ribosomal RNA
Source: RNAcentral